RNAcentral lists this unclassified non-coding RNA (1471 nucleotides) under uncultured fungus. RNAcentral describes it as "sequence contains 18S rRNA gene, ITS1, 5.8S rRNA gene, ITS2, 28S rRNA gene". The stretch from base 532 to 1471 matches the Rfam family "Eukaryotic large subunit ribosomal RNA", at positions 1 to 961 of the family's 3401-position model. Lineage: Eukaryota; Fungi. The record is from RNAcentral.
GGAAGGAUCAUUACCAAAGAGUGAGAAAUCACUUUCUACCUGCUUGGUGGCCCUCGGGUCGCUGACUGGUCUACCCUUUGUGAACCAAAAACCUUUUUCGCUUCGGCAGCUGGGCCUGACCGCCUGUCAGCCUGCCGCUAGCACCAACCUUUAAAACCUGUUGUCAAAACAUUGUCUGAUAACCAAAUUUUCGAAUGAAAAUUAAAACUUUCAACAACGGAUCUCUUGGUUCCCCCAUCGAUGAAGAACGCAGCGAAACGCGAUAGUUAAUGUGAAUUGCAGAAUUCAGUGAAUCAUCGAGUCUUUGAACGCACAUUGCGCCCAUUGGUAUUCCUUUGGGCAUGUCUGUUUGAGCGUCAUUACAACCCUCAGCUAACCGCUGGUUAUGAACCUGAACGGGUAACUCCGAGCCGGUUUUAAAGUUGUAAGCUCUGCUGGCCGCUCCGCCCAACCAGAACAUAGUAAAAACACUACUUGUUAGGGUGAAGCUGAACGGUACGGCCUGAACAAAACCUACCCACUUCUAAGGUUUGACCUCAGAUCAGACAAGGAUACCCGCUGAACUUAAGCAUAUCAAUAAGCGGAGGAAAAGAAACCAACAGGGAUUGCCUCAGUAACGGCGAGUGAAGCGGCAACAGCUCAAAUUUGAAAUCUGGAGCCUUCGGCUUCCGAGUUGUAAUUUGAAGAGGAUGUUUCGGUGCGACCUGGGCCUAAGUUCCUUGGAACAGGACGUCAUGGAGGGUGAGAAUCCCGUACAUGGCUGCAGGUUUGCUUCUAUGUGAAACUCCUUCGAAGAGUCGAGUUGUUUGGGAAUGCAGCUCAAAAUGGGUGGUAAAUUUCAUCUAAAGCUAAAUAUUGGGGGGAGACCGAUAGCGCACAAGUAGAGUGAUCGAAAGAUGAAAAGCACUUUGAAAAGAGAGUUAAACAGUACGUGAAAUUGUUGAAAGGGAAGCGCUUGCAAUCAGACUCGCCUUCAGUUGAUCAGCCUUCCUUCUGGUUGGUGCACUCUGCUGUUGGCGGGCCAGCAUCAGUUGGGGCGGUGGGACAAAGGUAGCAGGAAUGUGGCUCGCUUCGGUGAGUGUUAUAGCCUGCUGCGUCAUGCCACCAGUCCCGACUGAGGUCCGCGGUUCGCCUAGGAUGCUGGCUUAAUGGUUGUAAGCGACCCGUCUUGAAACACGGACCAAGGAGUCUAACAUCUAUGCGAGUCUUUGGGUGUAAAACCCAUGGGCGAAAUGAAAGUGAACGGAGGUGGGAGUCCUCGGAUGCACCAUCGACCGAUCCUGAUGUUCUCGGAUGGAUUUGAGUAGGAGCAUAGCUGUUGGGACCCGAAAGAUGGUGAACUAUGCCUGAAUAGGGUGAAGCCAGAGGAAACUCUGGUGGAGGCUCGCAGCGGUUCUGACGUGCAAAUCGAUCGUCAAAUUUGGGUAUAGGGGCGAAAGACUAAUCGAACCAUCUAGUAGCUGGUUCCUGC